This 253-nucleotide ribosomal RNA is filed under the name uncultured bacterium. RNAcentral's name for it is "partial 16S ribosomal RNA". It matches the Rfam family "Bacterial small subunit ribosomal RNA", at positions 524 to 776 of the family's 1533-position model. The record is from RNAcentral.
UACGUAGGGGGCAAGCGUUGUCCGGAAUUAUUGGGCGUAAAGAGCGUGUAGGCGGCCAGCUAAGUCCGCUGUGAAAUCUCGAGGCUCAACUUCGAGCUGUCGGUGGAAACUGUCUGGCUAGAGUCCGGAAGAGGAGAAUGGAAUUCCUGGUGUAGCGGUGAAAUGCGCAGAUAUCAGGAAGAACACCCGUGGCGAAGGCGGUUCUCUGGGACGGUACUGACGCUGAGACGCGAAAGCGUGGGGAGCGAACAGG